Molecule: ribosomal RNA, 498 nt
Filed under: uncultured bacterium
Lineage: Bacteria
Description: partial 16S ribosomal RNA
Rfam family: Bacterial small subunit ribosomal RNA
Source: RNAcentral
GACGAACGCUGGCGGCGUGCCUAAUACAUGCAAGUCGAGCGGACGGAUGGGAGCUUGCUCCCAGACCGUCAGCGGCGGACGGGUGAGUAACACGUGGGCAACCAGCCUGUAAGACUGGGAUAACUCCGGGAAACCGGGGCUAAUACCGGAUAACUCUUUCCCUCACAUGAGGGAAAGCUGAAAGAUGGCAUCUCGCUAUCACUUACAGAUGGGCCCGCGGCGCAUUAGCUAGUUGGUGAGGUAACGGCUCACCAAGGCGACGAUGCGUAGCCGACCUGAGAGGGUGAUCGGCCACACUGGGACUGAGACACGGCCCAGACUCCUACGGGAGGCAGCAGUAGGGAAUCUUCCGCAAUGGACGAAAGUCUGACGGAGCAACGCCGCGUGAGUGAUGAAGGUUUUCGGAUCGUAAAACUCUGUUGUCAGGGAAGAACAAGUACCGGAGUAACUGCCGGUACCUUGACGGUACCUGACCAGAAAGCCACGGCUAACUACGUG